CCUACGGGGCGCACCAGUAGGGAAUCUUCGGCAAUGGACGAAAGUCUGACCGAGCAACGCCGCGUGAGUGAAGAAGGUUUUCGGAUCGUAAAACUCUGUUGGUAGAGAAGAACGUUGGUGAGAGUGGAAAGCUCAUCAAGUGACGGUAACUACCCAGAAAGGGACGGCUAACUACGUGCCAGCAGCCGCGGUAAUACGUAGGUCCCGAGCGUUGUCCGGAUUUAUUGGGCGUAAAGCGAGCGCAGGUGGUUUAUUAAGUCUGGUGUAAAAGGCAGUGGCUCAACCAUUGUAUGCAUUGGAAACUGGUAGACUUGAGUGCAGGAGAGGAGAUUGGAAUUCCAUGUGUAGCGGUGAAAUGCGUAGAUAUAUGGAGGAACACCGGUGGCGAAAGCGGCUCUCUG
This 401-nucleotide ribosomal RNA is filed under the name uncultured bacterium. RNAcentral describes it as "bacterial SSU rRNA". It matches the Rfam family "Bacterial small subunit ribosomal RNA", at positions 338 to 731 of the family's 1533-position model. The record is from RNAcentral.